Molecule: ribosomal RNA, 301 nt
Filed under: uncultured bacterium
Lineage: Bacteria
Description: partial 16S ribosomal RNA
Rfam family: Bacterial small subunit ribosomal RNA
Source: RNAcentral
CAGUCGCCGCGGUAAUACGGAGGGUGCAAGCGUUAAUCGGAAUUACUGGGCGUAAAGCGCACGCAGGCGGCUUCUUAAGUCGGAUGUGAAAUCCCUGAGCUUAACUUAGGAAUUGCAUUCGAUACUGGGAAGCUAGAGUAUGGGAGAGGAUGGUAGAAUUCCAGGUGUAGCGGUGAAAUGCGUAGAGAUCUGGAGGAAUACCGAUGGCGAAGGCAGCCAUCUGGCCUAAUACUGACGCUGAGGUACGAAAGCAUGGGGAGCAAACAGGAUUAGAUACCCCAGUAGUCCCUGUCUCUUAUAC